Molecule: ribosomal RNA, 484 nt
Filed under: uncultured bacterium
Lineage: Bacteria
Description: partial 16S ribosomal RNA
Rfam family: Bacterial small subunit ribosomal RNA
Source: RNAcentral
AUUGAACGCUGGCGGCAGGCCUAACACAUGCAAGUCGAGCGGAUGAAGGGAGCUUGCUCCUGGAUUCAGCGGCGGACGGGUGAGUAAUGCCUAGGAAUCUGCCUGGUAGUGGGGGAUAACGUCCGGAAACGGGCGCUAAUACCGCAUACGUCCUGAGGGAGAAAGUGGGGGAUCUUCGGACCUCACGCUCUCAGAUGAGCCUAGGUCGGAUUAGCUAGUUGGUGGGGUAAAGGCCUACCAAGGCGACGAUCCGUAACUGGUCUGAGAGGAUGAUCAGUCACACUGGAACUGGGACACGGUCCAGACUCCUACGGGAGGCAGCAGUGGGGAAUAUUGGACAAUGGGCGAAAGCCUGAUCCAGCCAUGGCGCGUGUGUUAAGAAGGUCUUCGGAUUGGAAAGCACUUUAAGUUGGGAGGAAGGGCAGUAAGUUAAUACCUUGCUGGUUUGACGUUACCAACAGAAUAAGCACCGGCUAACUUCGUG